RNAcentral lists this ribosomal RNA (497 nucleotides) under uncultured bacterium. RNAcentral's name for it is "partial 16S ribosomal RNA". It matches the Rfam family "Bacterial small subunit ribosomal RNA", at positions 28 to 507 of the family's 1533-position model. The record is from RNAcentral.
GAUGAACGCUGGCGGCGUGCCUAAUACAUGCAAGUCGAGCGAACAGAUGAGGAGCUUGCUCCUCUGACGUUAGCGGCGGACGGGUGAGUAACACGUGGAUAACCUACCUAUAAGACUGGGAUAACUUCGGGAAACCGGAGCUAAUACCGGAUAAUAUAUUGAACCGCAUGGUUCAAUAGUGAAAGACGGUUUUGCUGUCACUUAUAGAUGGAUCCGCGCCGCAUUAGCUAGUUGGUAAGGUAACGGCUUACCAAGGCAACGAUGCGUAGCCGACCUGAGAGGGUGAUCGGCCACACUGGAACUGAGACACGGUCCAGACUCCUACGGGAGGCAGCAGUAGGGAAUCUUCCGCAAAGGGCGAAAGCCUGAUGGAGCAACGCCGCGUGAGUGAUGAAGGUCUCCGGAUCGUAAAACUCUGUUAUUAGGGAAGAACAAAUGUGUAAGUAACUAUGCACGUCUUGACGGUACCUAAUCAGAAAGCCACGGCUAACUACGUG